This is a long non-coding RNA of Gasterosteus aculeatus aculeatus (three-spined stickleback), 4964 nucleotides long. The record is from Ensembl. Lineage: Eukaryota; Metazoa; Chordata; Actinopteri; Perciformes; Gasterosteidae.
AAUUUAUUCAUUGGUUUGUGCAUUGUUAGAUUCUUACAUCUUACCUUUUAAUCUGAUUAGUGAAGUUAACUAAUAUAAAAAUAUUAGCAGUACUAAAGACUUACUGGUAACUGCCAAGAAUAAUAGUUGUAGUGGUUAAACAACAUAUUUGACUAAGCACACUAUAUAUAUAUAUAUAUAUAUAUAUAUAUAUAGUCUGCAGUAUUUAUGUGUAAUUUAGAGUGAAAGAGAAAUAUCUGCUUUAGGUAAUGCUAACCUAACCAACGUCUAAUACUGGAAAAACAUUUUCUAAUUUAAGUUAUUUGUAAGUUGACAUUCAAGAGAAGUCCUCCAAAGCUUGGCUGGUUGUAAUCAUGUAGUUAUUCUUGAAUGAUAGUGAAAUAUCUGAAAACGCUAACGUCAACCUGAGCAAUGUUCAGGAUCAUGAUGGUCCUUCAAACCACUAAAGGGACUAGUUAGCGGUUAGUUCAGAGUGAGGAAACAUCCUACGAAGCAAACGUCCGCUAACGUUCAGUCAGUGUAGGUUUGACUUCAUUUAGUGUCUGACAAUAACAACUCAUCUCUAGGUGUGUAAAUGUAAAUAUCCUCUCAGUUAACACUAGAAUCAUAACUAGGCGAAUGAACAGCUCGGGCAAACACCUCUCCGACUAGAUGUGGUUUUAACAAACUGAAAAACAAAUUGACGGAUUUCGCAAUUUGCAGCAGAAACGGCUUCAGUGUUAACUUAUCAUUAAAUAAAAAUAAUCUGUAUUGCCGGCGGCAGAAUAAGUAAAACCUUCUUAUUCGUAGCUUAAAUAAAUUACAGCAGAACAGUGGUGUGUAUUUGUGCACGAAUCUCUGCGUUGUUGUUUCAGACAAGCUGUGUGUGUUUGUGUGUGUGUGUGUGUGUGUGCCAUCCGAGAGGCAGUAGAGAAAAGGGAAAUACUGUUUGUUUUUAUUGUGUUUAUAUCUCCCUGCCUUUUAUGGCCUGCGCUGAAGCUUUGCGAGGGUAAAAGAGAGGGAGAAAAGAGAGUAUUCUCAAUUUCCUUCCAAAAAGAAAAUUCAUUUGCAGUUGCUAAUGUAAUGUCACCGUUGUGUUUACUGAGCGUGGAUGAUGUAUAGGGGAUGUUGCAUUGAGUGAGACUGCUUAAUGAUGCAUAGAAUUAAGUCUGUGGCUUUCAGCUGAGCUCCCCUCUCCCUCGUACUCUCCCUCUUUCUCCCUCCCCUUCUCUCUCUCUCUCUCUCUCUCUCUCGUUCUCACUCAGACUCCCCAUUCCCUUCCUCUUCUCUUCCCUCCCUUUUACCUCUCUCUUCGUUUAAUCCCCCCCUCCUCCCCUCUUCCUCCCUCCCACCACCACCACACCAACCCCUCUCUCCUCAGAUGCAGGCUGUCUUGGACUGUUGGCCUCACGUUGCUCUGUGCUCCGUUGCCUAACUCCAUCAAUCACUGCGAAGGGGAGAGAAGAGUGUGUGUGAGGGAGGGCAGCAUACGGGAGAGAAAAAAAAAAAGAAUAGAAAUAAGAUAUGGUCGGGGAAAAAAAUGAGCAGGACGAAACAUACACAUUGUGUAUAGACACUGCACGGUUUCUAAAAAGCUGGAGGGAAGGAAGCAACCAGUGGGGAAGAACCCCGUUAAUGAUCUGCUGCGCGGCGAUGGCAGUCCAAACAAUAUCCUGAAUAUUGUGUGAAUACUGUGGAUGCAAUUGUGUUAUUAUUGGCUCUAACUAUGAUUGUAAGUCUAUUGGGUCCAGGCACGAUGAUGAUAACGAUGAUGAUCAUGAUGAUGUGAUUUUAGUGCUUAUGCUAAUGGUUAUUACCUGAGCGGGAUGACUAUCUGAGUGGGAUGAGGGUUGAGUGGGAGGGUUGAGUUGCAACAAAAACGUUUUCUUAGGUUAUAUUUAUUCUACGAUUCGUAUGUCGGGAUAACUGGUUUGGCUGAAAUGUUUAUAUUGGUUUUCCUGAUAUCAUUGUUAAAAGAUUGAUUUGCCUGCUUUACAAAUUCUGAAGUGUUAAUUUAAGGAAAGACGUUCGGUUUGAACAGCAUUAGAAAGCAAACAGACCUCUCUGAGAGUUAAAGCAGGGCUAGAAUUAUUUUAGGACAGUGCAGAUAUAUUUAGAUAACAGGGUCAAGUGUGGUUGGACAAGUCACCUGUAAUAUUAAACCUGCAGUAUUAAACGUAAACGGGAGUAUUUUCUUACUGAUUUAAAGAUAACAUCUUGUGUACAAAUAAAAAUCCACCAAAGGUAAGUGAGGGUUACUACAAAAGAAACCCAUAACAAUACGAAGCGAUUCCUUAGUUUAUUGCUAUAAUUACGAUGCAGUAUAUUUAACUGGACAAUCUUUGCCCCAUUGAUGCCCCCCUUCCCUCCCCAUGGCACGAGGAUCCUGUCAGUAGAGAGCAAGCAGUCAUAGCAGCACAUUAACACCUGCACAACAAACCCAAGCAGCUAACACUCGGGCGUCCACACUCAGCCCGUUGAGACUGCGGGACAUGAGACUUGUCCGUCCCGAGUUGACAUGUUACAAAACACACCAAACAUUUUCAGCUGUCUCCACAGUGUUUUGUUUGCGUGUUGAUUUUACGGUUUCUCUCCUUCAUCUCUCUCUCUCUCUCUCUCUCUCUCUCUCCCUCGCUUUCACUCACUCCAUUGCUCCGUUGUGAUCUAGCCGUCCACCCCAUUCAUCAUCCCGCCACUCUCCCUCGCACAGAAUUAUUAUUUCUUUGAUGUGUUACUAGUUGAAAACAAAUCCAUUUUUCUGGCCAUCAAUUUAUCAUUUGGAGUGUGGAGUCACACUCGAGUUGUAGGGGCAACCCCAUUUUCCCAAUUCCCGACUCGCGCCGCGUGUGCGUGUUUGGCCGCGUGUGCGUGUUUGUGUGCUUUUGUUUGUCAACAUGUCGACGGUUUGUCUUGUGGCGCGCGUAUGAGAUGCAGGAUGGGAGGAAUCAGGGGUAAGAAGAAGUGAUGGGGGGGGAGCUGUAGUUUGGGAAAGUGAGUGAGGAUGAGAGAACGGAGUGUUUGUGUGUGUGUGUGUUUGUGUGUGUGUGUGUGUGAGUGUGAGACAGAAAGAGAGAGAGAGGGCUUCCCUCUUCCUCCAGUCACCCUCCUUCACCUAACGUCUGUGAUAAUUUAUCACUCCUCCUAGCUUGGCUGACAAACUAUUUGCAGGAAAAUGAGUUUUUCCGCCACGGAUUUGUCCUCUGGGAAUAGAAAGGGGAGCUGCUGUGUUUUUAUUCCACCACACACACACACACACACACACACACACACAGAGAUAUAUGGUUGUUCUCUUGUGCGCUAGUGCACACGUGUAACACACACACACACACGGAUUGAGGUCUCCAGUAUUUAUUGGGGGGAGGGGGAGGUGGUUAAGAUAAAUGAGGUAAAUUAAUAGAGUUACUGAGGGAAAAGAUCUGCUUCCGCACCAGCAGAUCUGCGACUGACACACAAGAGAUGAGCACGCACACUCCACCCCCCUCCACCCGCCUCUGUUCCUCCCUCCUUCACCUGCCAGGCCAUCUCUACCUCGCUCUCUCACUUUGCUCGCCCCCCCCCCCCCCCUGAUCCUUCCUUUGCCCUCCCACGGAUGACAAAUGUAACACUCAGACAAACAGCGAUCAGGGCCAUACAGCAUGAUGUCAGCUUAGAUCAACACUGGGACGAAAGCAAAUAUCACAGCAUCAACACUGCAUUACGAGCACUCUGCCUGUGUGUGUGUGCGUGUGUGUGUUUGUGUGUGUGUGUGUGUGUGCUGGUAUUACGGCGGCUGACCCGGGUCACCGGAUUCCAAUCUCACUUUCAACCUCAUCAACCAAGCUAUUGACAAUGUGCUUGACGGAGAAUUACACGACAGUAAAGGCCUAAUUACAUUGCUAUUACCCAGGGCUGUCCGUAAUCGUCAACACGACGCAUCAGUGGGACAUCGCAGCGGUAAAUCUGCAGGCUCUCUCUCUCUCUCUUCAUGCCUGUUACCAAUACAGCGUUAACAUUUCUUUACACUGUAUCUUCGGCUGACAGCAGAGACAGACAAAUACACUGAAGCCACUUGACGAUACAACAUGUGUGUCUUUAUUUAGGCGGAGAGGUGCUUUGAGACAAUUUCCAACGCCAACAUGCAGAUGUUUAGCCGUCAUAAUGUUGAUCAUGUUAUCUUUGUUCUCUUGUGCCAGUUAGGAUGAGUUACUGGUGCCAGAUGAGAAAGUUACGUCAGAAAGCUGACAAGACGACGCAAAGUUCUUUGUUGUGCUUUGAUAUUUUCUGCACUAUACCGCAUUCUGUCUUUUGGAUGAAGGCAUCCUUCUCCAAAUAAACUCAGCGCUCCCCAAAACAGCACCCGAGUUCUCAUGAGCACUUUUCAUCUCUGCAGUCACCAAUGACACCACGGCCAACAUGGCGUGAUGCUCGUCUCCCCGGAGACCGACUUUUGACUGGCGGGCAUGAGGACGAGGUCCCCUCCGAUGGACCGCUCUGAUCAUCAAAGUCUACUGCAAUCACUAGUGUGUGUCGAUGGGGGAUGCUCCCGUGUGUGUGCGUUUGUUGCCUUUAUCACAUUUAUUGAACUCAUAAAGCGCUAUGGUUGGCAACCUCUUUCACCGCCGGACCAUUUGGGGAGAAGUUGAUAAGCGAGAGGGUGAGGAAGAGACGGAGCAGAUUGAAACUUUGACUGAAGAGUUCACGUCUGACCACCAGUCCAAGUUGCAUGUGGGCUAAACACAACCAAACACACCUCCCAGGCCGAGCCCCUCUGCUGCUAAUGGCCAUUACUGCCUGUGUGCCAUUGUAGGCCUCACAAUAGCAAUCACGCUGGGAUUUUGUGUGGAGCUUGCUGGCAACAGUUAUUAGCGGACCCUCCCCCCCCCCUCCCCUCCAUCCAUCCCUAAAAAAACUUUAAGGGGGAGCAGUCAAGAGAAGAACAAGAAGAUUUUGGGUCCUGCACAGGGAGGGGGAACGUCAGCAGGAGGGACAGUGGGGGUUGAGGGGGG